AUCCUUUUUUUUUUAUUAAAAAAAUCUAACCCACAAUGCCAACAAUAUAACAUAACUUGCAUCAAGAACAUAAUACUAAAAUUUAACAUUCAACAUAUAAUAAUCAUGUCGUUAAAAUACAACCAUUGAACAUCCAAAAUACAAAUAAAAACAUCAUCAUAAUUAAUACUAAUCCAUUGUAACUUCACACAAACCUAGCUAGCUAGCUCCUAAUUUUUCUCAUCAGCAUCAUCAUAAUCUACCUCAGGAUUAUAUAGGUCAAGAAAACAAGUUGCCCAGCGGUCUCGCAAA
Molecule: long non-coding RNA, 291 nt
Filed under: Trifolium pratense (red clover)
Lineage: Eukaryota; Viridiplantae; Streptophyta; Magnoliopsida; Fabales; Fabaceae
Description: long non-coding RNA (TPRA_LNC011419)
Source: RNAcentral